GAUGAACGCUGGCGGCGUGCCUAAUACAUGCAAGUCGAGCGAACAGAUAAGGAGCUUGCUCCUUUGACGUUAGCGGCGGACGGGUGAGUAACACGUGGGUAACCUACCUAUAAGACUGGAAUAACUCCGGGAAACCGGGGCUAAUGCCGGAUAACAUUUAGAACCGCAUGGUUCUAAAGUGAAAGAUGGUUUUGCUAUCACUUAUAGAUGGACCCGCGCCGUAUUAGCUAGUUGGUAAGGUAACGGCUUACCAAGGCAACGAUACGUAGCCGACCUGAGAGGGUGAUCGGCCACACUGGAACUGAGACACGGUCCAGACUCCUACGGGAGGCAGCAGUAGGGAAUCUUCCGCAAUGGGCAAGAGCCUGACGGAGCAACGCCGCGUGAGUGAUGAAGGUCUUCGGAUCGUAAAACUCUGUUAUUAGGGAAGAACAAAUGUGUAAGUAACUGUGCACGUCUUGACGGUACCUAAUCAGAAAGCCACGGCUAACUACGUG
RNAcentral lists this ribosomal RNA (497 nucleotides) under uncultured bacterium. RNAcentral's name for it is "partial 16S ribosomal RNA". It matches the Rfam family "Bacterial small subunit ribosomal RNA", at positions 28 to 507 of the family's 1533-position model. The record is from RNAcentral.